Ribosomal RNA from Pteropus vampyrus (large flying fox), 119 nucleotides. NCBI's taxonomy places the organism in Eukaryota, Metazoa, Chordata, Mammalia, Chiroptera, Pteropodidae. The record is from Ensembl.
GUCUACAGACAUACCACCCUGAACAAGCCUGAUCCUGUCUGAUCUUGGAAGAUAAGCAGGGUUGAGCCUGGUUAGUACUUGGAUGGGAAACCACCUAUGAAGACCAGGCGCUGUAGGCA